This 467-nucleotide ribosomal RNA is filed under the name uncultured bacterium. RNAcentral's name for it is "partial 16S ribosomal RNA". It matches the Rfam family "Bacterial small subunit ribosomal RNA", at positions 29 to 507 of the family's 1533-position model. The record is from RNAcentral.
ACGAACGCUGGCGGCGUGCUUAACACAUGCAAGUCGAACGGAAAGGCCCUGCUUUUGUGGGGUGCUCGAGUGGCGAACGGGUGAGUAACACGUGAGUAACCUGCCCUUGACUUUGGGAUAACUUCAGGAAACUGGGGCUAAUACCGGAUAGGAGCUCCUGCUGCAUGGUGGGGGUUGGAAAGUUUCGGCGGUUGGGGAUGGACUCGCGGCUUAUCAGCUUGUUGGUGGGGUAGUGGCUUACCAAGGCUUUGACGGGUAGCCGGCCUGAGAGGGUGAGCGGGCACAGUGGGACUGAGAUACGGCGCAGAGGCCUACGGGAGGCAGCAGUGGGGAAUAUGGCACAACGGGCGGAAGCCUGAUGCAGCAACGCCGCGGGCGGGAUGACGGCCUUCGGGUUGUAAACCGCGUUCGCCUGUGACGAAGCGUGAGUGACGGUAAGGGGUAAAGAAGCACCGGCUAACUACGUG